UAAGGAAUAUUGGGCAAUGGAGGCAACUCUGACCCAGCCAUCCCGCGUGAAGGAUUAAGGCCCUAUGGGUUGUAAACUUCUUUUGCUUGGGAAGAAAUCUGGACAUUUAUGUGCAGUUGACGGUACCUUGCGAAUAAGCACCGGCUAACUCCGUGCCAGCAGCCGCGGUAAUACGGAGGGUGCAAGCGUUAUCCGGAAUCACUGGGUUUAAAGGGUGCGUAGGCGGCUUGAUAAGUCAGAGGUGAAAGCUGGCAGCUUAACUGUCAAAUUGCCUUUGAUACUGUUGAGCUUGAAUCAGGUUGAGGUAGGCGGAAUGUGACAUGUAGCGGUGAAAUGCAUAGAUAUGUCAUAGAACACCAAUUGCGUAGGCAGCUUGCUGGGCCUGAAUUGACGCUGAGGC
This 400-nucleotide ribosomal RNA is filed under the name uncultured bacterium. Its description in RNAcentral is "bacterial SSU rRNA". It matches the Rfam family "Bacterial small subunit ribosomal RNA", at positions 355 to 752 of the family's 1533-position model. The record is from RNAcentral.